ACUGCCCGAUGGAGGGGGAUAACUACUGGAAACGGUAGCUAAUACCGCAUAACGUCGCAAGACCAAAGUGGGGGACCUUCGGGCCUCACACCAUCGGAUGUGCCCAGAUGGGAUUAGCUAGUAGGUGGGGUAAUGGCUCACCUAGGCGACGAUCCCUAGCUGGUCUGAGAGGAUGACCAGCCACACUGGAACUGAGACACGGUCCAGACUCCUACGGGAGGCAGCAGUGGGGAAUAUUGCACAAUGGGCGCAAGCCUGAUGCAGCCAUGCCGCGUGUGUGAAGAAGGCCUUCGGGUUGUAAAGCACUUUCAGCGAGGAGGAAGGCGUUGUAGUUAAUAACUGCAGCGAUUGACGUUACUCGCAGAAGAAGCACCGGCUAACUCCGUGCCAGCAGCCGCGGUAAUACGGAGGGUGCAAGCGUUAAUCGGAAUUACUGGGCGUAAAGCGCACGCAGGCGGUCUGUUAAGUCAGAUGUGAAAUCCCCGGGCUUAACCUGGGAACUGCAUUUGAAACUGGCAGGCUAGAGUCUCGUAGAGGGGGGUAGAAUUCCAGGUGUAGCGGUGAAAUGCGUAGAGAUCUGGAGGAAUACCGGUGGCGAAGGCGGCCCCCUGGACGAAGACUGACGCUCAGGUGCGAAAGCGUGGGGAGCAAACAGGAUUAGAUACCCUGGUAGUCCACGCUGUAAACGAUGUCGAUUUGGAGGUUGUGGCCUUGAGCCGUGGCUUCCGGAGCUAACGCGUUAAAUCGACCGCCUGGGGAGUACGGCCGCAAGGUUAAAACUCAAAUGAAUUGACGGGGGCCCGCACAAGCGGUGGAGCAUGUGGUUUAAUUCGAUGCAACGCGAAGAACCUUACCUACUCUUGACAUCCACGGAACUUGCCAGAGAUGGCUUGGUGCCUUCGGGAACCGUGAGACAGGUGCUGCAUGGCUGUCGUCAGCUCGUGUUGUGAAAUGUUGGGUUAAGUCCCGCAACGAGCGCAACCCUUAUCCUUUGUUGCCAGCGGUUCGGCCGGGAACUCAAAGGAGACUGCCAGUGAUAAACUGGAGGAAGGUGGGGAUGACGUCAAGUCAUCAUGGCCCUUACGAGUAGGGCUACACACGUGCUACAAUGGCAUAUACAAAGAGAAGCGAUCUCGCGAGAGCAAGCGGACCUCAUAAAGUAUGUCGUAGUCCGGAUUGGAGUCUGCAACUCGACUCCAUGAAGUCGGAAUCGCUAGUAAUCGUAGAUCAGAAUGCUACGGUGAAUACGUUCCCGGGCCUUGUACACACCGCCCGUCACACCAUGGGAGUGGGUUGCAAAAGAAGUAGGUAGCUUAACCUUCGGGAGGGCGCUUACCACUUUGUGAUUCAUGACUGGGGUGAAGUCGUAACAAGGUAACCGUAGGGGAACCUGCGGUUGGAUCACCUCCUUACC
This 1414-nucleotide ribosomal RNA is filed under the name Gibbsiella quercinecans. RNAcentral describes it as "bacterial SSU rRNA". It matches the Rfam family "Bacterial small subunit ribosomal RNA". Lineage: Bacteria; Pseudomonadati; Pseudomonadota; Gammaproteobacteria; Enterobacterales; Yersiniaceae. The record is from RNAcentral.